CUCGCGUCAAUAAGCCUGGCAUGAAAAUGGAACUGCUCCCCCUUAUGGUCAUUCCACACCCGGAGUAGUCCAGGGACAGACCUAGGGCGACCAGGAAACUUCCACUUCAUAAUUAUAUUAAGGGCAUACUGGGUAACUGGGUUGCCCCUAUCCAGAAAACAGAGCAACUCCUUGUCCUCGGAGCCCCUGUGCAUCUCUUGGGCCAGCUCCUCCCAACUGAGCAGGUUGGUCGACCGGAUCUAGUGACAUCGUGGAUGGAAACGGAGGUCGAAUACGGCUCAGUCAAAGGCACAGAUGAAGGGAGAGCGUACGGAACAGUCUCCGAAGAGGAAGGAGAACCCCUAGUGAGAAUUAGGCUUGAUGAGGCGCGCUCUAGCGUCUUCAAGCAGCGAAGGUGCGAAGCGAAUGGCGUAACUCUACCAAGAAGGAUGUGGCACAGCGAGGCACGCACAAAGACAAGGCUCGCGCCACAGGGUGCUAUCGAAGUAGCCCCAUUUAUUGCAUGGAUAGGAAACCCUAAGAGAGCUCACCUUCUUUGUAUGUAUCCUACCCUGGAAUCGAAGAACUAACUCACUUUGCUAGUUGCUCGGUGCUAUCCCCCUUCCCUUGUUGAGUGCUCAGCUACAGUAAAAGUACAAGAAGCGGCUCCUUCGGGCAAGCCCUUGGGUACGUCUGAAACGGUAGAUUUGUUUACGGCUCCUCGUGAGAGACAGGAUCUCUUGGUUCGUCGACGUCUGAACAAGGGGGUCCCUCUGUGAAAUAUUCCCUUGUCUCUUUAGUUCUUUUUUCGGCGAAUCCUUCAUCUGACGCCUCAUUUGGUCUAGAAAAGAAAGUCCCCUCAGGACCGGGGUAGUUCCUCUUUCUCUUUGGCUCGCAUACCUAUCUAUGCUCAGCACUAACUUGACUUUAUGAUCAGAAACUUUAUAGCUAAUGGGACGGGGCAUGAUUAUGUUUUUUCUAAAAAAUCUCUCAACCUCCCUUCUUAGCUUUCAAUGGUAUUCUAGAAUUCCUUCGUUCUGGUGCAAUUCACUCAGUCUAGUCUCGCUAUAUCUGUGCUUUUCGCUAGGAUCUUCCCGUAUGUACAGUAGCCCCGACCCUAUCUGAUCUUAGUCUCGAGUAGAGUCUGACGCUUCAGAAUCGGAUUUUUUAGGUCGCUUGGUACCGAUCACACGAGACCAGACCUUGAGCCAGGGAUAGUCAGCGCUGAAGACCUUUCUGCACGGGGCAGCGACCAUAACUGAAACUAGACAUGAAGGUAGGCUUAAGGGAAGGGGUACCUUAACGAUACUCACUUGCAAAACUAGAAUAAUCCACCAUGGUAUGAUAAAGGAACAAGUAUGAGUUGCCUGCCAGCACGCAUUACGCUUACCUUUUUUUUUUUUUUAUCGGACUGCAGAGCGAAGAGAGAACAGAUCACUUAUUACAUCGAAAAAAAUCAUGAUAAGCCUGCGAAGCCAGCCACAGAGCAGAGGGGACUUCCGCCUAGAAUUGAUUCUCCACUAUUCAGGGAACUUCACUUACAAUACAUAUACAGGCGAACACGUUUCCACCAAUUAUUUGAUCUACUUAUUUGAUCUACACGUCUAGCGGAGUAGUAGCUCUGGACAGGUUCUUCGACUGGAUCAACAGCCACAAGUAGCUUACUCAAGGCUCAAGUGAGUCGAACCUACAAGACAAUUCUUCUCGACCGGGAGACUCACCCUAAAUCUCUUUCUCGACCUAAGGCAAAGGGUAGGGUAUAAGGGUAUGGGAGAACCCGCUCAAGAGAGUAAUUGAACGGAAGGUCUAACUCUAUCGCUUUACUUUCUCUUCAACGGUUCUUGAGUCGAACCUUGACUCUUCUUCUGAGAUAGCCCUUUCCCUUCUGGUCAGAGCGACUUUUCGCGCUUUAGAAAUAGCUUUCUGAGAGGUAUAGUAUAGGUUCUUUCGGGCUAUCACGCUUGACUUUAAGCCCCUUGCGGAUAGGGUUUUGAAAGAGAAGUAGAGCAGGUUCAAGGGAAGAAAGACCCUUCUUCAAGCUCACCCUGUCCGCACGCAAGUCUAUUCCUUUAUUGGAAUAUUGGUCGGUGUAAAAAAAGAAAAGUAUCAAAAGCUUUAUCUUUCUCAAGAAGAGGAGUCAGUCAAAUAACUAAGAUGUGGGAGCCCUUCCUCGCCCUGUUCAAGGAUAUCAAAGCUGCAGUUUGAAAGAUUUAAGCCUACAAGGCUCCUUAACCAUCAGGUCUUAAAACCAUAUUCUAUCAGACCUAUUGGGACAUCAUUGGUAAAUCUUUUUGUGACCAAAUAAGAAUAGCUUUGCUAGCACCUUCUGUCCACCACAUAUGAACCAAACCUUCAUCACUCCGAUCCCUAAAGUGGACCAUCCUGAACUGAUCAAUCAGUUUAGAUCGUGUAAGCCUUUGCAAUACCACGUAGAAGAUUUUUACAACAAUUAUUGUAUCGAGACUCAGACCUUACCUGGACAGCCUCAUUAGUACUAACCAAAGCUGCUUAGGCAGGAUAGGGAACACAAAGGCCUGGGCAAUUCCCUUAUGGUAGGAUGGAACUCUUAGGCAUGGAGUUAUCCGAGUUAUUCAAGUUCUUCCUGCAGCUACAGCUAAGCAUAUGAGCUUGGCUUUGAGUUCUUGCAGUUAUGAGCUAAGGUAGCUACCUGAAAGGCGUUUUCAAAACAAUAUCUAUUUUCGGGUAGGAGGGAAGACAGCCAGAUAGACAUUCCGCCCCUAGCUCGACUUUCUCCUUUUGACGACCAACGAGACUCCUUUGUAAGGAAGGAAUUUUGUAAAAACUCAGACUUUGAAUGGAUCGCGUGGACUAGAACUCAGAAACUUUUUGAAUAGAGCAUCCUACUGUGCGGUCUGAUCCAUGGCAGGAAACCCAAUAGCUUUCAGAGGUUCAUUCUAGAUUCCGAAUAUCAAUCCUACAGGAAAUGCUCUACCUAACGGUCGACUGUGGUAGAACCCUUUUUGAAACCCAACGUAGAGAAGAUAGAAAGAGAUGGAAUCAAAGUCCAAUCCGGAUUCCCGCCCUGACGGAGAAGGAAGGGAAGGUAGCAGCAAGCCUUACGUUAAGCAAGAAGGAAGAAGAAGUCUCAUAUGUGCGAUUACCAAUUCCAUAUUUAAAAUAGGUUUGCUUAGUCCCCCUUCCUGGUAGUCUAGCUCAGUCUGUCCCUUGUCUGUCCAUUGCUUUAGUUUGUCGUCUGUAUCUUUCUUUGUCUUUAGUAAGAAAGCCUGUUCAAGCCAUCUGAUAAUGUACUAGAGGUACAUUCAAUGCGAAUCUAAGCUUUCUUUCGCCCUGGAAUGAUGCAUUAUUCAAAGACAGAGCCUAUCGAUCGAAAGAGAUAAAGAGAUAGAGGGGCCGAAGGCGAAGGAUCAAAAUAAAAAAAUGGGAUCUUCGGUAAAGGGUCGGUCCUUUCUUAUAGCCUUUGGUUAAGGCUAGCUGGCUAGUGCAGUCUUAGUCUUUGCUUUUUAUUAUUAUUAUUCCCAUGGAAUUGAUAAGUUCAAUCUCGUCUCAACAUAGCAUAGCCCCCAGCCCUUUCCUUACGCUGAUUCCAAAUCAUGGAACCUACGGUCAUAGAUCAUAGACUAACCGUAGAAGCAUUUUGUGUGGGGCGGGCCGCUGCUCUUGUUGUUAGAAAUUCCAGGCCCUUACUUCUUCCUCAAUAAGUCUAGAGCCAUGCACGAAGAAAGCUAGGCGCCAACAAACUAUUAAGCACACGUACAAGGCGCCCUGCCCAGAGCAUUCAAGAUCAAAGUUCGCAGCUCUCCAUUCAAUCCCUAGCUUUGCGAAGCGAAGCGAUCUUGUUCCAAUAAUGAAGAAGGUUUCGAUCUGACACAUCGAUCUUUCUAAUUUCCCAGGACUACGUUCCACUUUCUAUUGGUAACGAUCAAUUGACAAAUGUAGCUUUCUGUCAAUUCCGGCCCAAUCGAUUGAUUAAUAUAACGACCUACGAGGAAGUUUUUUUUUUUUUUCGUGCUGGGCACAUUUCUCCCCCGCCCCCCUAUGAAUAAAAAAGUGCUCAACCUCUCCUCUCGUCAAAAGUCUUCAGUCAUGGGCUUUUAUGUGUAUGCCAGGUCAGGACGAAGGGGAAUUGACUAACCUCUAGUUUGAUCGCUGAUCGAAUGUGAAGUACGAAGCGAUCAAGUUGAAGUAGUGCCAGCAAUAAGCAAACCCCUCGACCAGCCACUAUGUAUCCAUGGCCACUAGGGAUGAGGAAGGGGCUACGGCAGUUCGUUAUUCAUACUCGUCAUUUAUAUGGUUAAAGAUAGGAAUAAAUUGGCUUGCUUGGAAAUAGAGAAGCAAAACAACAGCCAUUUUUUCUCUUGCCCGAAAAUGGUGACCCAACACUAGUUUUCCCGGGAAAGGGUUUAGAUCUAGAUCUAAAUACAUAGCCCUAUUUGAUCUAGUAAGGGGGGCUGUUUUACUGGUAAAGGUAGGUUGGUACGUAGACGCAUUGAAAUGCAGGUCUUGCAGAGCCUGUUGAUCCAUCAAUAGCAGAGCGGAGGACUUGCAUUCUCCUAUGGUUGAGCAGUUUACCCAGAAGAGACGAAGACAAGGGCGAUGAUCUGUUGAUCCGGCACUAGUGGUAGAGGUCGCAGAGCCUUCCACUUCACUUACCUAAUGGGUAAGGCUGAAAGUGAAUCUAUCGAUUCACCGGCACGAAUAGCAUUUCCUCCUAUCCCAGCAUACCUACCGGCAAGAGCAGAUCCUUUUCCAUAUGCGGGUUCGAAGGAGCUCAACAAACGUGACCAGGCUGCUUAUGAGAGAAUUUUGAAAACAAAAAAAAGACCCUGGAGGAGGAGGUCUACUUUAUUCAGUUCUAGUUAGUUUGUUUUGCUUUAAGAAAAAAUUGAGUUAUUGAAUCAAAACUUUCCUACUUUUUGCCCACUACCUCUGUUUUAGAGAACUCUGCCUGGGCUUCCCUGCAUCCGCUCGACUCAUACCUCCCAGCCCUGUCUCCAGGAUCUCAUUCAAUAGAUCCAACCCAUUUCUAGGGUAGGGUAGAUAGAGGCUCUGCAAGACCCGCUUCUCCGCUUCAUUCUUUUCAUCUUCCCUUUUCUUAUAAUACACUAGAUAGCGCCUUUGUUCGAUAGUUCGAUAGUCGUAACUAUUGGCCUCUGAGUCCAUCUUAGGUUAGGUCUAACUCAAUAAAUUGUGUAAGUGAAGGCGGAUCGAGCAACUCAUUUUUAUUAUCUUGUCUCCACUCCUUUUGGCCGGCAGGAGAGAAUGUCAUCAAUAAGCCAGCAGAUAUCUGAGAUCCUGUCCUCAACUCAUGAAUGGACUCUUUCUGUCCGACCUUAUGUUAGCUUAGCUGCCCCCUCCGCUUUGAAGUGUGCUCUCGGCGAAUAUGGUAUCUCAGGCUGAAGCCGAUCAGACGAUUUUGCCUUAUCGUCUUGGACCUUCGAGAAUUUGAUAUUGUCAAAGAUGGAACUCGCUUUUUUACACCAAUAUAGACUCUUCUUUCCGGGGCUCCCUCUGGGUCCGGGCUUGCCUCGCCUCUUUGAAAAAUGGGGCCUUUCAGACAACGACUUUAGAAAAGGGUGAACGGGUCAUUCGUCGCGGGCCUUUCCUGUUCCUGUUGACAGUUGGCAGUCGGAUGAGUUGAUUGGCAAGCCAGCUAACGGGGCCACGAAGGGCCCAACGGAUUGAGGGCUCGAAAUUUUAUGCUUAACACACGCGAGUCGAUCAGUUCGCCCUUAAGAAGGAGGCUUAAGUUAUCGGUUCGAAUCCGAAUAAGGGCUUUUUUUCCGGUAUGCCGCUUCAAAGCAAGAAGCGAAUGAAUGUUAAGUCAAAAAAGAAAUUCAUGCAUGAUAAGGCCCCAAAACCAACUCAUAGUUGUAAACGCCCUUACCUCAUUAUGUAAUGAAAUUUCAAACCAGCAUAAUAGUUUGGGGAACCUCCCGCGGGGCCAAACGAUAUCCUUUAUACCACAGCGGUUAAUAUAACAAGGGGAGCCAUAACCGAUACGGUGGAGCACCUUUUCCAACGUCAUAAUAUCCCCCUUAGCCUAAUUGGACCUACGGGCAACUGGUCACUGACAUCCUUGGGAAUGAUCUAACUCUGCAAAAUGUUUCUUCUGUUUUGCAGAACAUCACUCAGCUUGGUCUUGCUAGUGAUGAAUUCCACCAACUACGGCAGCGGGACCGCUACACGUAGAGGGGUACCGGACCGAUCCCCGACUUGCGCAUUAUGCCUCUUCGGCCGACUCAGUGCCCGCACACUCGUUUCGUGGGUUGACUUAGGCAUACGGAGUUCAUCCCCAUCUAAGCAUACGGAGUUCAUUCCCAGUCUAAGAUCAGACCAGACCGAAGGUUGCGACAGCAGCACUCAGUGGGGACCAGGUCGAUCCUCGGCUUGCGCAUUCUACCUGUCCGAUAUGCUGGGUGCCCGCAUGCCCGUUUCGUGGGUUGGCUUAGGCAUAGGGAGUUCAUUCCAUGUCUAAGCCCCAGCCGGACCAAGGGUUGUGGCAGCGGGACAGGCAGCACGUAGAGGGGGACCGGGCCGAUCCCUGACUUGCCCAUUCUGCCUCUUCGGUCGGCUGAGUGCCCGCACGCUCGUUUCAUGGGUUGGCUUAGGCAUACGGAGUUCAUCCCCAGUCUAAGCAUAUGGAGUUCAUUCCUAGUCUAGGAUCAGACCAGAUCGAGGGUUGCGGUAACAGGAUCGGCAGCACGCAAGGGGGAUCGGGCCGAUCCCUGACUUACGCAUUCUGCCUCUCCGGCCGGCUGAGCGCCCGCACGCCCGUUUCGUGGGUUGGCUUAGGCAUAGGGAGUUCAUUCCAUGUCUAAGCCCUAGUCGGAUCGAGGGUUAUGGCAGCUGGACCAGCAGCACGCAGAGAGGGACCGGGCUGAUCCCUAGCUUGCGCAUUAUGCCUCUUCGGUCGGCUCAUUGCCCGCACGCUCGUUUCGUGGGUUGACUUAUGCAUAUGGAGUUCUUUCCCAAUCUAAGAUCGGAUCGGACCGAGGUUUGUGGCAGCAAGAUCGAUAGCACGCAGGGGGGACUGGGUCAAUCCCCGGCUUACGGAUUUUACCUCUCUGGUCGGCUGAGCGCCUGCACGCUCGUUUUGUGGUUGGCUUAGGCAUAGGGAGUUCAUUCCAUGUCUAAGCAUACGGAGUUCAUUCCCAGUCUAAGAUUUUGAGCCACGAUGCACAUGCUGGGCACGGGCGUGUGCUGGUGCCGUAUUUUUUUAGCCUGGGGCACCAUCGCCAGAGCAUCGCUGAAGCAUCGUCGGAGAGCCUAACCGUCGGCAUUGGGGAGGCCGGGGGGUGUGCGCACAUGAUGUGCGAUGGGUGCUGGUACUUGGCCCUUAUAUUGGCCCCCUAUCCCUCAUCAAACCUCGAGAACUCACACCCCCUUAAAGAGCAUAUGAGAUUUUAUAGGUUUGCUUCCAGUAGCCAUUAAAGUGUUUGAAAUGGGGACACUUUUUUCAAACGGUCACAAAAUUUUCUCCACUUCUAGUUUUUAGCUGAAUUUUUUUUUGGAUGCCAACAAAAAUACAAGGAUCACCUCUACCAAAUUUUGGGACAAAACCCUUUCUAAAAAAAUUUUAAGAAAUCC
This 7548-nucleotide long non-coding RNA is filed under the name Durio zibethinus. RNAcentral's name for it is "long non-coding RNA (DZIB_LNC000043)". Lineage: Eukaryota; Viridiplantae; Streptophyta; Magnoliopsida; Malvales; Malvaceae. The record is from RNAcentral.